Long non-coding RNA from Hyalella azteca, 1294 nucleotides. RefSeq lists it as uncharacterized. The transcript has 3 exons. Lineage: Eukaryota; Metazoa; Arthropoda; Malacostraca; Amphipoda; Hyalellidae. The record is from RefSeq and is a predicted model, not a curated record.
UUUCAUUUUUCUUGCAUAUAUUUUUAUGUUUUAUAUGUUAUAUAACCUAUAAACACCUCCAAAAGAUGUGAGUUCAACUAUCGCUCCAGUGAAUUGGUAUUGCACAUUUUUAAAACUUUUCAGCUUUUCGACGUCGGGGGAUGCGACGCCUGUGAGUUCCCUCGGUGAUACGUGGGGGCAAAAUUUACUAACUACUUGGUUCGGCCUGGCACCGGACGACAGCUGCCUUGUGUUCAAACCUACUCUGAGUACUUUCCUUGUUGUGCACAAUCUUUCCUUCGCGACCUUGCACGACGCUCUCAAACAGUUUGAUGGUGUGCAACUGAAGAUCAAGAAAGCCAGUGGUCCGAUACCCGGCAGUUCAGGGGAUAAAAACGAACUCACUCACAUGGUACACGAUUUUUAUCAGACAAGAGGUUUCGAAAUCUGUUCCAGAGGGAAAUUCAUCGCAGUUGUUCCUAACAACAUUUACUCGAAAUUUAGGAUCUACAACCUUGAUCACGACGCCCCGACCAAUAUAUUUCAACGAAACCCACCGACUCUGACCAGCACAGCCCAAUUUAUUGCAUCCACAGACCGAUAUCCCCAAAAGGAUUCUUUUAUACUCAGUGCAAGCGGCGAAAUCGCCAUUGCCUUCGAUGCCGCAGAAACAUGCACCAGCUUUUACCAUUUGCGAGCGCCAGUACUAUCCAAACUUCCAAUAGAUUUAGAGCCUUUCAAUAGUUUAAGGUGUGAGAGACGUGUGAUAUCGAUGGCUUUGACUCAAGCGUUAGAUAUCUUUGUGACCGGUCAUUCCGAUGGCCCAAUGGUAUGGCACAAUCCUAGGCUUUGAAUCAAAUGCAUCACAGAAUUUUAAGAAGGAACAAUUAACUCUUUUCUUACCUUUCUACUUAAUUGGUUUGGUUCUUGAUGAACAUUGAUUGGCUAAAAGUUGACCUUCAAUACCCAUGAGUUAAUUUAGGAAGAGUGAAGACCACCGAGCAAGGGCCUUAGUGUGGAGGUUAAGUUGUUAUAUGUCGGCAGAAUUCCCAUUAUUUAUCUCCUGUCUCUCUCGUAGACUUUAUUCUUGACUUCCAGUGCGAGAUAGUCUAUUAGCUGGAGCGCUAGAAAGCCAUUAGGCCAUUUGUUUAAAGUAAUUAAUUUAAAAACUAGUGGUCUCAAGCAACCUGAACCAAGCAGAGCCAUGGAAACAAAAGUAAACUGUUUUUGGUCCUCUUACAAUAUUCUGGAGCAAAGGUCUGAGCGUGCUCUGUCUUGAAAGUUAUUAUUUAACUGAUAUAAAUAAAUUUAUAAU